UGAAACCGUUUAGGGGUAAACCUGAGAAACCCGAAAGGUCGAAGGGAGAAAUUCAUUCGCGUUUCGACGUUGGCGUGGAACGGAGUCUCGUGUGACGGAACACGUUUUUCGGAACGAGUUUCGCACCCUUCGUUCUUCGAACCGACGACGAACGCGUGCACUUUUCUCCUGGUAGGACGUCGCGAUCCGUCGGGUGUCGGUCUACGACUUGCGGUGGAGCCCGUUCGUCGUUUCGUUACGUACGGACGGACCCGCAAUGUUUUUCCGGCCGACUCGCUCGACGGUAUACUUACGGUCGGAGGCCGCUCACAAUUUUCAAGGAGCGUUCGACUCGUCGCAAGCGCGCCACGUGCGUCGGCACGCGGACCUAGUGCCGCGUUCGACCUCUGGUGACUGUUGGCGACGACGUUCUCGAACAGACCUCAUUUUUUUUUUUUUUCGAAAAGAAAAAAAGACCGAUCGGCGACGCUAUAGCUUUGGGUACUUUCAGGACCCGUCUUGAAACACGGACCAAGGAGUCUAGCAUGUACGCGAGUCAUUGGGAAUCACUAAACCUAAAGGCGUAAUGAAAGUAAAGGUCUUCCUUUAGCGAAGACCGAGGGAAGACGGACGGUCGCGCGUUUCAUUACAAACGCCGUCCCGCAUUCCCGGGGCGUCUCGUUCACAUUGCGUGAAGAGGCGCACCAUGAGCGUACACGCUGGGACCCGAAAGAUGGUGAACUAUGCCUGGUCAGGACGAA
RNAcentral lists this ribosomal RNA (740 nucleotides) under Xylosandrus discolor. RNAcentral describes it as "partial large subunit ribosomal RNA". It matches the Rfam family "Eukaryotic large subunit ribosomal RNA", at positions 400 to 850 of the family's 3401-position model. The record is from RNAcentral. Lineage: Eukaryota; Metazoa; Arthropoda; Insecta; Coleoptera; Curculionidae.